UACAGAGGGUGCGAGCGUUAAUCGGAAUUACUGGGCGUAAAGCGCGCGUAGGCGGCCCCGUAAGUCCGCUGUGAAAGUCAAAGGCUCAACCUUUGAAAGCCGGUGGAUACUGUGGGGCUAGAGUCCGGAAGAGGCGAGUGGAAUUCCUGGUGUAGCGGUGGAAUGCGCAGAUAUCAGGAGGAACACCGGUGGCGAAGGCGGUUCUCUGGGAAUGACCUGACGCUGAGGAGCGAAAGUGUGGGGAGCGAACAGG
Molecule: ribosomal RNA, 253 nt
Filed under: uncultured bacterium
Lineage: Bacteria
Description: partial 16S ribosomal RNA
Rfam family: Bacterial small subunit ribosomal RNA
Source: RNAcentral